Molecule: ribosomal RNA, 501 nt
Filed under: uncultured Oscillibacter sp.
Lineage: Bacteria; Bacillati; Bacillota; Clostridia; Eubacteriales; Oscillospiraceae
Description: partial 16S ribosomal RNA
Source: RNAcentral
CACGUAGUUAGCCGUGGCUUAUUCGACAGGUACCGUCUUCUGCUCUUCCCUGUCAAAAGAAGUUUACAACCCGAAAGCCUUCUUCCUUCACGCGGCGUUGCUGGGUCAGGCUUUCGCCCAUUGUCCAAUAUUCCCCACUGCUGCCUCCCGUAGGAGUCUGGGCCGUAUCUCAGUCCCAAUGUGGCCGGCCAACCUCUCAGUCCGGCUACUGAUCGUCGCCUUGGUAGGCCGUUACCCUACCAACUAGCUAAUCAGACGCGAGGCCAUCUCUCAGCGAUAAAUCUUUGGUACAGAUACCAUGCGAUACCCGUACGUUAUGCGGUAUUAGCAGUCGUUUCCAACUGUUGUCCCCCAUGAAAGGCAGGUUCCUCACGCGUUACUCACCCGUCCGCCACUAAGCAUUCUUUUCCAUUGACCGAAGUCUCUUUCGAAGGUGCUCCGUUCGACUUGCAUGUGUUAAGCACGCCGCCAGCGUUCGUCCUGAGCCAGGAUCAAACUACU